UGCCAGCAGCCGCGGUAAUACGUAGGGUGCGAGCGUUAAUCGGAAUUACUGGGCGUAAAGCGUGCGCAGGCGGUUAUGUAAGACAGAUGUGAAAUCCCCGGGCUCAACCUGGGAACUGCAUUUGUGACUGCAUGACUGGAGUGCGGCAGAGGGGGAUGGAAUUCCGCGUGUAGCAGUGAAAUGCGUAGAUAUGCGGAGGAACACCGAUGGCGAAGGCAAUCCCCUGGGCCUGCACUGACGCUCAUGCACGAAAGCGUGGGGAGCAAACAGGAUUAGAUACCCUGGUAGYCCAAGGGGCCGAAAUUCGUUUUAAACCUGCARGGACUAG
This 328-nucleotide ribosomal RNA is filed under the name uncultured bacterium. RNAcentral's name for it is "bacterial SSU rRNA". It matches the Rfam family "Bacterial small subunit ribosomal RNA", at positions 506 to 834 of the family's 1533-position model. The record is from RNAcentral.